Molecule: ribosomal RNA, 454 nt
Filed under: uncultured Saprospirales bacterium
Lineage: Bacteria; Pseudomonadati; Bacteroidota; Saprospiria; Saprospirales
Description: bacterial SSU rRNA
Rfam family: Bacterial small subunit ribosomal RNA
Source: RNAcentral
ACGGAAGGCAGCAGUAAGGAAUAUUGGUCAAUGGACGCAAGUCUGAACCAGCCAUGCCGCGUGGAGGAUGAAGGUCCUCUGGAUUGUAAACUUCUUUUAUUUGGGAAGAAAUCCACUUUUUCUAAGGUGGUUGACGGUACCAGAUGAAUAAGCACCGGCUAACUCCGUGCCAGCAGCCGCGGUAAUACGGAGGGUGCAAGCGUUAUCCGGAUUCACUGGGUUUAAAGGGUGCGUAGGUGGGUAAGUAAGUCAGUGGUGAAAUCUCCGGGCUUAACCCGGAAACUGCCAUUGAUACUAUUUGUCUUGAAUACUGUGGAGGUCAGCGGAAUAUGUCAUGUAGCGGUGAAAUGCUUAGAUAUGACAUAGAACACCAAUUGCGAAGGCAGCUGGCUACACAAAUAUUGACACUGAGGCACGAAAGCGUGGGGAUCAAACAGGAUUAGAUACCCUGGUA